Long non-coding RNA from Dermacentor silvarum, 701 nucleotides. RefSeq lists it as uncharacterized. Lineage: Eukaryota; Metazoa; Arthropoda; Arachnida; Ixodida; Ixodidae. The transcript is spliced from 3 exons. The record is from RefSeq and is a predicted model, not a curated record.
CGGACAUUGCAGGGUUGGGCUUGAUGACAUUUGUUGCUCAGCUGCCGCGACACAUUUGGAGCAAAGGAGGAUUUGCUUCUAACUGCGGCAGUGACGUUGUGUAUUGUCCUCAGGAACGCUUGCGGUGUGCACAUUUGUCUAAUUUGUUUCACUGUGCUGCUGCUGUCUUUACAGCUUCUGCUUAUUUCCUUUGGCCGCACCUUAUAUUUGUUGUCUUUGUCAACAUCUGACCUGUUUCUGCCUUGUUGAAAGCAAGUGGCCACAAGUACUGCUUAGUUUGCUCAGUCUAAACCUGGCCACUUCACAACUGCAAGCUGAAUCUGAUGUAGGCAGUGUCAGGGUCAUGGCCCAUAUUUUAGUGAACGCCAAGAAUGCGUCCUGUGACUGAAGUUUGAGCAUUUGAGCCCACCUUUUGGAAGUGCUUUUUAUGUGCACUCAGUAAGUGACAGUUAUCCAUGCUUCUUGACAUGAUUUUAAGUGAUCCUAGAGGCAACACUUAUUGAUCUGCAUUAUGCAAAUGUUUUUAUAUUUUCACUAAUAUACUGUGGUCACUAUUACUACGCACUGUUUAAAAGGUGUUGAAUAUAAAAAGCUACUUAUUUGCCCUAAUAUAAUGUAGAAAUCACGUGGAAAUAAUGUAGGAUCACGUGGAGCAGAGGUAGAAUACCCGGCUUCAAAUCUGAAGGUCGUAAGUUCGAAUC